GAUGAACGCUAGCGAUAGGCCUAACACAUGCAAGUCGAGGGGCAUCACAUGAAGUAGCAAUACGGAUGGUGGCGACCGGCGCACGGGUGAGUAACACGUAUGCAACCUGCCUUCAACAAGGGGAUAACCCGUUGAAAGACGGACUAAUACCCUAUAACACAGGGGUCCCGCAUGGGAAUAUUUGUUAAAGGACAACCGGUUGAAGAUGGGCAUGCGUUCCAUUAGCUAGUUGGCGGGUAACGGCCCACCAAGGCAACGAUGGAUAGGGGAACUGAGAGGUUUAUCCCCCACACUGGUACUGAGACACGGACCAGACUCCUACGGGAGGCAGCAGUGAGGAAUAUUGGUCAAUGGACGGCAAGUCUGAACCAGCCACGUCGCGUGAAGGAAGACGGCCCUACGGGUUGUAAACUUCUUUUAUACGGGAAUAAAGUGCCCCACGCGUGGGGUUUUGCAUGUACCGUAUGAAUAAGGAUCGGCUAACUCCGUGCCAGCAGCCGCGG
This 503-nucleotide ribosomal RNA is filed under the name uncultured bacterium. Its description in RNAcentral is "bacterial SSU rRNA". It matches the Rfam family "Bacterial small subunit ribosomal RNA", at positions 28 to 520 of the family's 1533-position model. The record is from RNAcentral.